Molecule: microRNA precursor, 97 nt
Filed under: Musa acuminata subsp. malaccensis (wild Malaysian banana)
Lineage: Eukaryota; Viridiplantae; Streptophyta; Magnoliopsida; Zingiberales; Musaceae
Description: precursor microRNA MIR827
Rfam family: MIR827 microRNA precursor family
Source: RNAcentral
UGAAUCUGUUUUGUUGAUGGUCAUCUAAUCAUUUCCAAAUUCCUCCCUGUCUUGUUGAGUGAGGCCAUGAUUAGAUGACCAUCAGCAAACAAGUUCA